RNAcentral lists this ribosomal RNA (621 nucleotides) under uncultured Methylotenera sp. RNAcentral describes it as "bacterial SSU rRNA". It matches the Rfam family "Bacterial small subunit ribosomal RNA", at positions 17 to 633 of the family's 1533-position model. Lineage: Bacteria; Pseudomonadati; Pseudomonadota; Betaproteobacteria; Nitrosomonadales; Methylophilaceae. The record is from RNAcentral.
UCAUGGCUCAGAUUGAACGCUGGCGGAAUGCUUUACACAUGCAAGUCGAACGGCAGCACGGACUUCGGUCUGGUGGCGAGUGGCGAACGGGUGAGUAAUGUAUCGGAACGUAUCCAGUAAUGGGGGAUAACUAAUCGAAAGGUUGGCUAAUACCGCAUACGCCCUACGGGGGAAAGCAGGGGAUCUUCGGACCUUGCGUUAAUGGAGCGGCCGAUAUCUGAUUAGCUAGUUGGUGAGGUAAGAGCUCACCAAGGCGACGAUCAGUAGCUGGUCUGAGAGGACGACCAGCCACACUGGAACUGAGACACGGUCCAGACUCCUACGGGAGGCAGCAGUGGGGAAUUUUGGACAAUGGGCGCAAGCCUGAUCCAGCCAUUCCGCGUGAGUGAAGAAGGCCUUCGGGUUGUAAAGCUCUUUCGCAAGGGAAGAAACGAUGCAGACGAAUAAUCUGUGUUAAUGACGGUACCUUGAUAAGAAGCACCGGCUAACUACGUGCCAGCAGCCGCGGUAAUACGUAGGGUGCAAGCGUUAAUCGGAAUUACUGGGCGUAAAGCGUGCGCAGGCGGUUUUGUAAGUCAGAUGUGAAAUCCCCGAGCUCAACUUGGGAACUGCGUUUGAAAC